UACAGAGGUCCCAAGCGUUGUUCGGAUUCAUUGGGCGUAAAGGGCGCGUAGGCGGCUUGGCAAGUCUGGUGUGAAAUCCCGGGGCUCAACCCCGGAACUGCAUUGGAUACUGCCAUGCUAGAGUACUGGAGAGGAGAGUGGAAUUUACGGUGUAGCAGUGAAAUGCGUAGAUAUCGUAAGGAAGACCAGUGGCGAAGGCGAAGCUCUGGACAGUUACUGACGCUGAGGCACGAAGGCCAGGGGAGCAAACGGG
Molecule: ribosomal RNA, 253 nt
Filed under: uncultured bacterium
Lineage: Bacteria
Description: partial 16S ribosomal RNA
Rfam family: Bacterial small subunit ribosomal RNA
Source: RNAcentral